RNAcentral lists this ribosomal RNA (622 nucleotides) under uncultured bacterium. RNAcentral's name for it is "bacterial SSU rRNA". It matches the Rfam family "Bacterial small subunit ribosomal RNA", at positions 338 to 954 of the family's 1533-position model. The record is from RNAcentral.
CCUACGGGAGGCAGCAGUGGGGAAUUUUGGACAAUGGGCGCAAGCCUGAUCCAGCAAUGCCGCGUGAGUGAAGAAGGCCUUCGGGUUGUAAAGCUCUUUUGUCAGGGAAGAAACGGUGGGAGCUAAUAUCUCCCGCUAAUGACGGUACCUGAAGAAUAAGCACCGGCUAACUACGUGCCAGCAGCCGCGGUAAUACGUAGGGUGCAAGCGUUAAUCGGAAUUACUGGGCGUAAAGCGUGCGCAGGCGGUUUUGUAAGUCUGUCGUGAAAGCCCCGGGCUCAACCUGGGAAUUGCGAUGGAGACUGCAAGGCUUGAAUCUGGCAGAGGGGGGUAGAAUUCCACGUGUAGCAGUGAAAUGCGUAGAGAUGUGGAGGAACGCCGAUGGCGAAGGCAGCCCCCUGGGUCAAGAUUGACGCUCAUGCACGAAAGCGUGGGGAGCAAACAGGAUUAGAUACCCUGGUAGUCCACGCCCUAAACGAUGUCUACUAGUUGUCGGGUUUUAAUUAACUUGGUAACGCAGCUAACGCGUGAAGUAGACCGCCUGGGGAGUACGGUCGCAAGAUUAAAACUCAAAUGAAUUGACCGGNGUGAGACGAGACGAGGACGACGACGAGGGAGGAGG